Molecule: ribosomal RNA, 253 nt
Filed under: Deltaproteobacteria bacterium
Lineage: Bacteria; Pseudomonadati; Myxococcota; Myxococcia
Also listed under: 1 other name
Description: partial 16S ribosomal RNA
Rfam family: Bacterial small subunit ribosomal RNA
Source: RNAcentral
UACAGAGGUCCCGAGCGUUGUUCGGAUUCACUGGGCGUAAAGGGUGCGUAGGUGGCGAUGAAAGUUCGAUGUGAAAUCUCCGGGCUUAACCCGGAAAAGGCAUUGAAAACUAUGUUGCUUGAGGUUUGGAGGGGGGACUGGAAUUCUUGGUGUAGCAGUGAAAUGCGUAGAUAUCAAGAGGAACACCAGUGGCGAAGGCGGGUCCCUGGACAACACCUGACACUGAGGCACGAAAGCUAGGGGAGCAAACAGG